UGAAUAGGGUGACUUUGCAGCCACCCAGAGGAGGAGAGAGUUCCUGGACCUCCCCAGGUAUCACGCCGAAAAGCAAUUGGUGGCAUUCUGCAAAUCUGUGCUCUGCCACCAGGUUUUGGCUUUGUGUUAUUAAACACAGGGUAAUGCACGGCCCCGGGCGGCACACAAAAUAGCAAUUCCCUUCAGCUCCUCUUUGGAUGUGAUAGAGCUAAUGAAGCAAAUCGGAUCUCAGGGAAUACAGCCACCUUAUUUAGUAUGCGUAUAAAACACCUGUAGUAAGACAUUGUUACGGCUGAGAUUGUUAUGUUUUUAGUGGAAAAAAAGAAUUAGGAUCAAAAAUGCAAAACAACACUGUUCCUAUAAAAAGUGAAAAUGUGCUUGGAUAAAUGAAGGUCAAUAGAGUUAAUUGUGGGGAGUAGUACAAGAAGGCAGCUCAUGCUAGAGAACAUAAUUUGAUUCAGAUAAAGAGGAAUUGUAAUUAAAUGGAGGUUGGAUAAACACGAUUAUCCUGGAAAGGUUACCCAGCAGACAACUGGGAGGUUUUAAGAUGCAGAUGCAGACACAUAUAUGGUGUGGAAGUAGAGACACCAUGGCCAUCAGAUCCCCUGGGUGUUCCGCCACCGUGGAAGUUUGCCCAUGCUGCCAUGCCAUGUGGCAACACGGGGAACAACAGCAAUAACAGGCAAUAAAUUGAGUUAAUUUUGAAGUCUGUUUUGCUGGCGACUGUAAUUGGCAAGCGAUCUCCCUGCUUUCAUCCCAAACCCCAAGAUGUCUCAUUCCGGCUGCUCCCCAUUUUCACACCCAUCCCGCUGUGGUGGGGAGCAGCUGGGUGGGAGCUUGGGUGCUGGCCAAGGCUAACCUGCCACAGUCCAGCUCUGGGCUGGAGAAGAUGAGAGCAUCCCACCCCCAGCCAGAGGGACAAGGUUACUAAUGGCCCUUGAUGACCCAUAUGAGAUGAAGGGAAUCAAAUGUAUUCCUCCCAGGACAACCACAAGACUUCCAAACAAGUUGGCAUGUGAUACAAUAAUUGUCUUAUUCGCAUUCCUGUCUUCUCUGCUUGUUAGCCAAGCAUCAUCCAGCGAGAGGACAGAGCACUCUGCGCUGCUGGCCGGGCAGAAGGAGCCCUGCACGGCGCAAUGA
This 1140-nucleotide long non-coding RNA is filed under the name Calidris pugnax (ruff). RNAcentral's name for it is "lncRNA (ENSCPUG00000006477.1)". Lineage: Eukaryota; Metazoa; Chordata; Aves; Charadriiformes; Scolopacidae. The record is from RNAcentral.